CAAGAAUUUCCUGGCACAGGGCCACCCCUUCCUUCCCACUCCAGGAAGUGAGAGGACAGAGCCCAGGGCUGGUUCCAUCCUAGAAGUCAGGUCUGGGGCCUGGUGCAGCACAGCCAACAGAGCUGCUAAUAUCGCUGGAGCCUGCCCCGGGCCGUCGGAGCUUGUCACAGGAUGCGGAGGUGGGCAGCUGGCCACAGAGGGGACUUGCGCAGGGAGUCCUGCCUGGCCAGGGCCUUGGGAAACACUUGCAUGUUGCAGUCAUGCAGCUCCCCAGGAGGAAAGGCUGCGUUUCCUUCACGAGGGGGAAGUGGGGUAGGCCAUCGGAGCUGCUGUUUAAGGAGGAAAUUUGAGAGCAGCGUCCUCACUCGAGCCAGCACCUGGAGAUGCCCCCCGCCCCAGGAAGACUCUGGAAUCGGAGUGAGAAACUCCAGAGGGCCAGGCCCAUAGCCAGAGCCCUGGGCUGAGGCUGAGCCCGUUAACUGUGCACUCCGGCUCAGCAGGCCAGGCCCCAGCGACUCCCCUGGAACAUUGCAGUUGAUUCUUGCUGUUGGUGCAACGCCUGCCUGGCCGGUGCCCCUGCCUCACACACACACCAAGUCAGCCUCCGGAAGAACCAAUAGGUUCAAGAAGAGUUUAUACAUCUGGCCUGCAGAGAUUUAUCUAAUGUUUAUUAAGUGAUCAUGUGCCCAGAGCCUGGAGCCAGACUGCCUACAUACAACCCUGGAUAACCACUCAGGGCUGCGUGGCUCUGGAGGUGUCCCUUCCGGUCCCUUUUCCAGUGUCCACCCUUUGCGGAAGUUCGGAGAAUCACAUGAGAAAGGACGCAUGAAAUACUCCCUCCCCAGGCCACCCUGUGCAUGGGGCUUCAAUGAGCAACAACGCUUACUAUGGUCAGCAAACAGCUCCUGCAUGGCGGACAACUGCUACCUGGUCCUCAGAUGACCGUCACAAGCCCCACCGUGUGCUCCACACCUGACGAGGCCUGUCACAGUGCUGGCGACGUCUCACAGUCCGAGGCGACACGACCACUUGUCUCACCUACUCAAGGCUCCGGGUUACAGGAACAGAUCUUGGCGGGGGUCCCAUAUGAUGCUACUAGGGACACUUGUGCCCUGGGAGACAUUAAAACAUUUGCCACUGUGAAACCUAGGGGACAUGUACUUUUAACCCUUCUGAGCCUCAGUUGCGAGGAAUAAAUGAAUAAAUCUACUUGAAAUGUUCAGAACAAAGCCAGGUCCGUGACAUAGCGAGAAUUAAACGUUGAUACAUGUAUCAGUUAUUCCUGAGUACCUCUCAUGGAGCUAUUAUUUGACACAUGGGGAAAGUGAGGCACAGAACUUAACACAGGCCUUAUGACACUAUGAGCUGUUACUCCCUACAAGUAUUCAUCCAUUCAAUGAAUAUGUAUGAAGCUACCGGGUAUAGCUGUGCAUACCUGUAAACCCAGCACUCCGAGAAGAGGGUCAAAGUUUGAGUUCCGUCUGAGUAAUACAGCUAGUGAGCCGUCUUAGAUACUUUCUUGCCUCAAAAUUUAUGAAAAAGGGCUGGGGAUGUAGCUCAAGGUAAAGGCCCUGGGUUCCAUCCUCAGUAACACCCAAAACGAUAAUAGAAAUAGAAACAAAUGAAAAAAAGAAGGAGGAGGAGGAGGAGGAGGAGGAGGAGGAGGGGAAGGGGAAGAGGAACAGGAUGAAGAAAACGAAGGAAGAAGAAGAA
Long non-coding RNA from Fukomys damarensis (Damara mole-rat), 1713 nucleotides. The record is from Ensembl. Lineage: Eukaryota; Metazoa; Chordata; Mammalia; Rodentia; Bathyergidae.